UGGGGAAUCUUGCGCAAUGGGGGAAACCCUGACGCAGCGACGCCGCGUGCGGGAUGAAGGCCUUCGGGUUGUAAACCGCUUUCAGCAGGGACGAGGCCUUAUGGUGACGGUACCUGCAGAAGAAGCUCCGGCUAAAUACGUGCCAGCAGCCGCGGUAAUACGUAUGGAGCAAGCGUUGUCCGGAAUUAUUGGGCGUAAAGCGCGCGCAGGUGGUUUAGAAAGUCUGACGUGAAAGCCCACGGCUCAACCGUGGAGGGUCAUUGGAAACUAAUAAACUUGAGUGCAGGAGAGAAAAGUGGAAUUCCUAGUGUAGCGGUGAAAUGCGUAGAGAUUAGGAGGAACACCGGUGGCGAAAGCGGCUUUUUGGCCUGCAACUGACACUGAGGCGCGAAAGCGUGGGGAGCAAACAGG
This 411-nucleotide ribosomal RNA is filed under the name Verrucomicrobiota bacterium. RNAcentral describes it as "Verrucomicrobia bacterium partial 16S ribosomal RNA". It matches the Rfam family "Bacterial small subunit ribosomal RNA", at positions 355 to 776 of the family's 1533-position model. The record is from RNAcentral. Lineage: Bacteria; Pseudomonadati; Verrucomicrobiota.